CCUUAAGGACUUUUAGAAUAAAGAUUUGAACUUGUGGUGUUAGUCACAUCCGGGACAUUUGCUCGUGUGCGCGCCUCACGCAUUUGGAAUAUUUUUCACAGAGGCCAUUUUCUUCCCUCUCGAUGCGGAGCAUAUGAGGACGGGAAACAACGAAAUAAAGUGUUUAAUCUUACGCACAAAAUGUGUUUUGUAAUAUAAUAUCGUUUUAUAACGAUAUUAAUGUGCUGUAUGCCGCUAAACCUUUCUCAAAGACAUUUUUUUCUACUCGCGAUGCGGAACAGACGAGAGCUGUGUACUCCUGAACGUCUUCCUAGAGAGAUAACGUUAACGUUAUUUCCUUUCACUCGCGAUGCGGAGCAGACAGGGUAUUUAUCAAGAAAACACCGAAAUCUGAAUUGCUAUGCAGUGUUGACGUGGAGGUCCCUUUUAACAGGGAAACGUAAGAAGUAAGUGUUUUGCCUCAUUUAAAAUAUGUAUUUUAUAACUGUAUGCUUCUAAACCAACAUAUAGUUUCUUACAGAUCUCAUUUGCUUUACAGUGCUAACGUAGAUCAUUUUUAACAGGGAAAGUAAGUGUUUUAUAACGUCAUAUUGAUUUAUAACGAAAUUUAUGUAUUUAAACUGUUUCUCAGAGCAAUAUUUUCUUUCACUCACGAUGCAGCGGACAGAGAAGUUGGUUUUAUCAAAGAAAACACAGAAAAUCUGAAUUGCUAUUUAGUGCUGACGUGGAGGUCGCUUUUAACAGGGAAACACUUGAAAGAGAUAUUUUCUUUCAAUCACAACACAGAGCAGACAGGAAAGUGGGUUAUAUCAAGGAAAUGCCAAAAAUCUGAAUUGCUAUGCAGUGCUGAGGUGGAGGUAAUUUUUAACAGGGAAAGACUAGGAAUAUUAAUUUCUAUGCAGUGCUGACGUGAAGGUCGCUAUAACAGUUUCUACAAUAUUUAAGAUGCUGUGAUGAUGAUACAUCCCGGAACCACUUCUGGCCAAAUUGGUUUCCAACAUAAGGGUGGAAUCAGACCUGGAUAACGCCCAACAUCUGGAACAGACAGACAGACACACACACA
This is a long non-coding RNA of Labeo rohita (rohu), 1063 nucleotides long. RefSeq lists it as uncharacterized. The record is from RefSeq and is a predicted model, not a curated record. The transcript is spliced from 8 exons. NCBI's taxonomy places the organism in Eukaryota, Metazoa, Chordata, Actinopteri, Cypriniformes, Cyprinidae.